GAAUCAACGCUGGCGGCGUGCCUAACACAUGCAAGUCGAACGCGAAAGUGGAGCAAUCCAUGAGUAGAGUGGCAAACGGGUGAGUAACGCGUGGGCGACCUACCUUCGAGUGGGGGAUAACCUUCCGGAAAGGAGGGCUAAUACCGCAUGACAUCCCGUGUUUGGAUACACGGACAUCAAAGCCGGGGAUCGUAAGCCUGGCGCUUGAAGAGGGGCCCGCGUCCGAUUAGCUAGUUGGNGAGGUAACGGCUCACCAAGGCUCCGAUCGGUAUCCGGCCUGAGAGGGCGGACGGACAC
Molecule: ribosomal RNA, 297 nt
Filed under: uncultured bacterium
Lineage: Bacteria
Description: partial 16S ribosomal RNA
Rfam family: Bacterial small subunit ribosomal RNA
Source: RNAcentral